This 439-nucleotide ribosomal RNA is filed under the name uncultured bacterium. RNAcentral describes it as "partial 16S ribosomal RNA". It matches the Rfam family "Bacterial small subunit ribosomal RNA", at positions 338 to 795 of the family's 1533-position model. The record is from RNAcentral.
CCUACGGGUGGCAGCAGUGGGGAAUAUUGCGCAAUGGGCGAAAGCCUGACGCAGCGACGCCGCGUGAGGGAUGAAGGUCUUCGGAUCGUAAACCUCUGUCCCCAGGGACGAAGAUGACGGUACCUGGGGAGGAAGCUCCGGCUAACUACGUGCCAGCAGCCGCGGUAAUACGUAGGGAGCGAGCGUUGUCCGGAAUUACUGGGUGUAAAGGGAGCGUAGGCGGGGAUGCAAGUUGGGUGUCAAAACUACCGGCUCAACUGGUAGUCGCACUCAAAACUGCAGCUCUUGAGUGAAGUAGAGGCAGGCGGAAUUCCUAGUGUAGCGGUGAAAUGCGUAGAUAUUAGGAGGAACACCAGUGGCGAAGGCGGCCUGCUGGGCUUUUACUGACGCUGAGGCUCGAAAGUGUGGGGAGCAAACAGGAUUAGAUACCCUAGUAGUC